This 405-nucleotide ribosomal RNA is filed under the name uncultured bacterium. Its description in RNAcentral is "bacterial SSU rRNA". It matches the Rfam family "Bacterial small subunit ribosomal RNA", at positions 362 to 773 of the family's 1533-position model. The record is from RNAcentral.
UCUUGGGCAAUGGGCGCAAGCCUGACCCAGCGACGCCGCGUGAGGGAUGAAGGCCUUCGGGUCGUAAACCUCUUUCAGGAGGGAAGAAGCCGCGCAAGCGGUGACGGUACCUCCAAAAGAAGCCCCGGCUAACUACGUGCCAGCAGCCGCGGUAAGACGUAGGGGGCGAGCGUUGUCCGGAUUUACUGGGCGUAAAGCGCGUGCAGGCGGCCCGUUCCGUCCCGUGUGAAAGCCUCCGGCUCAACCGGAGGAGGUCGCGGGAUACUGGCGGGCUUGAGGAAGGCAGAGGAUGGUAGAAUUCCCGGUGUAGCGGUGAAAUGCGUAGAUAUCGGGAGGAAUGCCAGUGGCGAAGGCGGCCAUCUGGGCCUUCUCUGACGCUGAGACGCGAAAGCUGGGGGAGCAAAC